This 809-nucleotide long non-coding RNA is filed under the name Callithrix jacchus (white-tufted-ear marmoset). RNAcentral describes it as "lncRNA (ENSCJAG00000061638.2)". Lineage: Eukaryota; Metazoa; Chordata; Mammalia; Primates; Cebidae. The record is from RNAcentral.
AAGACAAUGACGUAUCUGAUGGCACUGAGAUUUAGUCAUGAGUUUUAUUUGGAAAUGCUUUUGAAAGCUUUACUUGCCCUGUCUCAAUUCGCUCAUCUUACUGCACGUCUGGUUCUGAAGCAUGUAUCAAUUUGUGUGUCUUUGAUAAGUGCAAUUUUACUACAAUUGACACAGAUCGUUCUCUCACUGAUUUACAGCGUGAAGAACACCAUGCAGGGUUCUGCUCCUCCUUCCAAGCUUCCACCAUGGCCUAAGCCCAAGGCUGGUGGAAAUGUGAGAACCCAGGGCUUGGAGAAGAGCUGUCAGGUUGCCAUUCAGAUGAGCAGCUGCUUUGACAGACAGCAAAGGGAAUACCUCAUAUGGGAGAGAGAGUAGUGUCAUCCUCUCUAACCCCAAAGGGAAAUGCUGUGGACUGAUGUGCUGUGUGAAGCAGACCUGGCUGCCAUUCAGAACUAUCAACGAUGAGAAGAGCAAAUUCAGGAAACUGUGGGCUAAAGAAAGCACAGGCUGAAUCACUAGUAUGAAGGAGAUCAAUCUGCUCAUUUUAUCCUCCCUGGGAACACUCUCCCGGUCACACUUUCCAGCAUCCUGCACUUAGGUGGGCAGGAAGAUUAGCCCCGGGUAAUGAAAUGUGAGCUGAGGUAAUGGGCAUUACUCCCAGGCUGAAGCAGUGUAAAAACCUGGUGAUUCUCUGCUCUCUCUGCCCCUGGCCUAAUGACCAAGGAGGGCUUGUGUUAAGCCAGCUCCCAGGGCAGCUUGGAUCUCUGAGUCACUACGUGGACUGCAGCUGCCUGCACCCCUCAUUGGAU